Long non-coding RNA from Tympanuchus pallidicinctus (lesser prairie-chicken), 247 nucleotides. RefSeq lists it as uncharacterized. The record is from RefSeq and is a predicted model, not a curated record. The transcript has 3 exons. NCBI's taxonomy places the organism in Eukaryota, Metazoa, Chordata, Aves, Galliformes, Phasianidae.
UGGACGUGAGAACAUCUAGUUGUAGAUCUCUGCAUACCUGAGGCCUUCUAAAGGGUCCAACCAGGACAUGCUGUGUCAGCCCAUGCAAGCUGCAGGCAUGAGAUAGCAUGAGAUAUCAGGCAUCCUCUUCCAACUGCCUGAGCACAGGUCGGUUGUGCAGAGGUGAAUGGAGCUGUCUGUUUCUCCUUGUGUGCAGUGAUGGAGACUGUCCUGUCCAGCAGAUUGCAAUGGAUGCAUAAAUAAGAGC